GGAUUAGAUACCCUGGUAGUCCACACCGUAAACGAUGAAUGCCAGUCGUCGGGUAGUAUAGUAUUCGGUGACACACCUAACGGAUUAAGCAUUCCGCCUGGGGAGUACGGUCGCAAGAUUAAAACUCAAAGGAAUUGACGGGGGCCCGCACAAGCGGUGGAGCAUGUGGUUUAAUUCGACGCAACGCGAAGAACCUUACCCAGACUUGACAUUGAAGGAAUCCUUUAGAGAUAGAGGAGUGCUCUUCGGAGCCCUGAAAACAGGUGCUGCAUGGCUGUCGUCAGCUCGUGCCG
RNAcentral lists this ribosomal RNA (293 nucleotides) under uncultured bacterium. Its description in RNAcentral is "partial 16S ribosomal RNA". It matches the Rfam family "Bacterial small subunit ribosomal RNA", at positions 775 to 1067 of the family's 1533-position model. The record is from RNAcentral.